Molecule: ribosomal RNA, 403 nt
Filed under: uncultured bacterium
Lineage: Bacteria
Description: partial 16S ribosomal RNA
Rfam family: Bacterial small subunit ribosomal RNA
Source: RNAcentral
AUUGAACGCUGGCGGCAGGCCUAACACAUGCAAGUCGAGCGAGCGGCGGACGGGUGAGUAAUGUAUGGGGACUGCCCGCUAGAGGGGGAUAAGUAACGGAAACGGUGGGUAAUCCCGCAUUCAGUCGGGUACCCCAUAUGGGAUUAGAUAGUAGGUAAGGUAAUGGCUUACCUAGGCGACGAUACCUAGCUGGUCUGCGAGGAGGAUCCGCCACACUGGGACGGAGACACGGCCCAGACUCCUACGGAGGCAGCAGUGGGGAAUAUUGCACAAUGGGCGCAAGCCUGAUGCAGCCAUGCCGCGUGUAUGAAGAAGGCCCUAGGGUUGUAAAGUACUUUCAGUCGGGAGGCGUUACCGACAGAAGAAGCAACGGCUAACUCCGUGCCAGCCGCCGCGGUAAUUC